Long non-coding RNA from Aedes aegypti (yellow fever mosquito), 700 nucleotides. RefSeq lists it as uncharacterized. The record is from RefSeq and is a predicted model, not a curated record. Lineage: Eukaryota; Metazoa; Arthropoda; Insecta; Diptera; Culicidae. The transcript is spliced from 3 exons.
AUGUCAUUUUCCAUCGCUUUGUGUUUUGUUCGCAUCAUUCGCCUUGAACAUAAAAGUGGGUUCGGGAAAGCUGGAGAUUUACAUUGGUGUCCAAUCUAAUUGAACACAGACGUUGGAUGAAAUGCUGGACUUAUCGGUGCUGCGAUAAAAUGCCCCGCGGCCGUUGUGAAACCAGUCAAACACUAAAGACCAGACAGCAGCUAUAAACAAUGUAUGCAGCAGGAGUUCCAUCAGGAACUGGUGAAGUAGCGGUGCAUCUGGUGGUGCCAAUUGUCCAGAGCGUGUUGCUUAGUUGAUUUCAGUUAGAAUUUUGGAACUCCCCAUGUAGUAUGAUGUGAAAUUUAUAGUGAGUAAAACCGUUUGUUCCGGUAUUUCGCGGUUUACCGUUUUGCGGUUAGUACCAUUUCGCGGUCUAUACUGUUUCGCGGUAUGGUUUUUCCUGCAAGUUGCACUGAAAAUUGUUGGCAGUACCAUUAAUAACAUUUUCAUCGGUGAUCUACCCUUCUUUUAAGCACAGGCUUUCUUCCAAAUUGCACUGUUAAGAUAGAUGAAACAUCUCAGUAUAAACCGCGAAAUUGUACUGACCGUGAAGUGACAUGCCGCCCAAUGGUACUAACCACCAAAUGUCGUACCGCGAAGUUGAUAUACCGCAAAAUGUUAUACAAUCGAGCUAGCCAGGGCUGAAAAACUCGUCAAUAAA